GGCCCAUGCCCGCAUGCCGUCUUCAAUCUCCUCAAAGCUCGCUGCCCUCUGACGUUCUCCUUGCUAUCAUGAUCGAAGCGCUGCCAUCCGAAGCUCCGCUUCCCGCCUCCAUUGACGGAGUGGCUGGAGGCUUGAGGUUGGUAGCAAUCUGGAGAUGCAUCCAGGACGGUGUAGGCUGGCCAUCCACUCCGUAACCAUGGCAGCGCGCCUUCGCGCACCCAAAUACGCAUCUCCUCGUCUUAAAGGCAACUGUAGGUUUGAUUUCCUAUAUCUUUUUUGCAGGGGUGAUUUCCUAUAACCUUAACCAUAUGAUUAGCGUUGUCAAAUAGUCAUUCGAGAACAUAUUUCAAUUCCUCUUCUCUCUUCAUGUUCUUCAGAUCCUAAUUAGUAUGGUCAUCUUCCAGUUUUGCUAAUGCAUAUAUUUCUUUGUGCGCACAUUCUCAGGAUACCACAAUCUGCUCACCAAUUUUAUUACUUUGCAUUCUUCAUUUUAGUUCCUUGCAAAUCGGUUAUUGUAUAGGUUUGAAAAGUAUCCAAUCCCUAUUGACAUUUCCUCACUACGCCCAGUAGGCCGCCCAUACUCCUGACAGCAGGUUUGUUCUUUGUUUCAGAAGUUGUUGUGCUCCCAGAUUCCGGAUUUCUGUACUCGAGCUGCUCACAGGGUGUGUGCGAAAGCUAUCUGCAAAAAAUGUCUUCCGGGCAGGUGUUCCAGGCUUCAGCCAGCUAGUGUUGUGGAUUGAUGCAUUGUUGGUUUCUACUCGCCUCCACAGAUGUACAAGCCUUAGUCCGUUGGUGCUGCUCUUUCUUGUUUACUACAGCAACCAGGUGAAACAAAUAUAAAAACUUGCUGCCUGAAAGGAUUGUACACUGGAAUCUCCCUUGAUGUUAUUCUUUUCCACCUUCAUUUUUUUUUUGCAUUCUAUAUCAGUAUAUCGAGG
Molecule: non-coding RNA, 938 nt
Organism: Lolium perenne
Lineage: Eukaryota; Viridiplantae; Streptophyta; Magnoliopsida; Poales; Poaceae
Source: RefSeq, a predicted model, not a curated record